Molecule: ribosomal RNA, 253 nt
Filed under: uncultured bacterium
Lineage: Bacteria
Description: partial 16S ribosomal RNA
Rfam family: Bacterial small subunit ribosomal RNA
Source: RNAcentral
GACGUAGGGGGCCAGCGUUGUUCGGAAUUACUGGGUGUAAAGGGUUCGUAGGCGGUGCGGCAAGUUGGGAGUGAAAUCUCUGGGCUUAACCCAGAGGCUGCUUCCAAAACUGCUGUGCUUGAGUGUGGGAGAGGCGCGUGGAAUUGCAGGUGUAGCGGUAAAAUGCGUUAAUAUCGGGUAGAACACCAAAGGCGAAAGCAGCUUGCUGGAACAUUACUGACACUGAGAGACGAAAGCGUGGGUAGCGAAAGGG